This 929-nucleotide long non-coding RNA is filed under the name Malus domestica (apple). Its description in RNAcentral is "long non-coding RNA (MDOM_LNC006204)". The record is from RNAcentral. Lineage: Eukaryota; Viridiplantae; Streptophyta; Magnoliopsida; Rosales; Rosaceae.
UGGCGCAAGGUCAGUGGGCCGACGCUGUCUUUUUAAGUUGAAUUCAAUGUUCUAAUUUCAAAAUUGAUAACCGUUUGAUAUAGUUCGAUAGUUUGAACCUAGUAUGGUGAAGUACGUUACUUGAUCAUUUUAUGAUUAGACAAUCCAACCGUUGGAUUGUCAUCAAAAUUUAAUACGUUAUAGUACGUAAUAUUUGAGGAUAUUAGAAAUUGAUGGAUCAGGAAUCUAACAUAAGGAUCUUCUCAAAUUGGGUUUGUAAGUUCGUAAAAUAACACGUUAACUGCCACUAGAAUUGGUGAUUAGCGGACAUCGGAUCGUAAUAAAAUUUUAGCAUGUUGUUUUAGAAGCAUAAUGUGAACUUUAGAAAGUUACGGAUCUGAAAUCCAAUGUGCGGAUCUUCCAAAUCGAAUUAUGUAGAAUUGUGGACCCUACCUUUGAUCGAAAGCUAACUUUUGGUCAACAUGUCUCGAAACGUUCUAAAUACUAAAAUUAGUACUACGGGAGAUUAAGUGAAGUCUAGUGGCCUACAUUGGUUAGAGAGUGGCUUGAAUAUAUGUGAUAUGGUUAUUACCUUAAUUUCUUAUAUUAAUAUCAUUUGUGAAUAUGACUUGGUAUUAUAAAUGUGAUUUCUAUUGAAAUGUGAUUUUUGUAUAUUUAGCCUAGAAUUAUGUUGGGUAAUUACAUAGUAGCCCCUCAGGUUUGAGGUCUAUUACAACCUCAUACAACGUUUUAAAACAUUUCACUUUCAUACAUCAUGUACCAUUUUAUUUCAAAAUAAUACCUCCGUUAGAUUUUCCAUCCAUUAAUAUGUUAAAUGCUGACGUACAUUUGUGCUAAUGUGGCUGCCACGUGGUAAAAAAAAAAUAUUUUUUAUACAUUAAAAAUAUUAUAAUAUUAACCCAAUUUAUAAAAUUAAAAAAAUUAAAAAA